CUCUUCUCAUUAUGCAAGUGUGUUCCUCUAUUUUUGAUGCUAAAGGUGGAUGCUCCAGUUCAAACACUUCACAAAUGAUAUUGUUAAAUAUUGUAGUAUUCUUACCUUUAGCGUCAAGAGAUGAACACACCCGCCCUACAAAAAAGAC
RNAcentral lists this microRNA precursor (148 nucleotides) under Sorghum bicolor (sorghum). Its description in RNAcentral is "MIR6234 microRNA precursor family". It matches the Rfam family "MIR6234 microRNA precursor family". The record is from Rfam by way of RNAcentral. Lineage: Eukaryota; Viridiplantae; Streptophyta; Magnoliopsida; Poales; Poaceae.